UACAGAGGUCUCGAGCGUUAGGCGGAAUCACUGGGCUUAAAGCGUGUGUAGGUGGAUGCCUAAGUACCUUGUGAAAUCCCACGGCUUAACCGUGGAACUGCUUGGUAUACUGGGUGUCUUGAGCCACUUAGGGGCUACCGGAACAAAUGGUGGAGCGGUGAAAUGCGUAGAUAUCAUUUGGAACGCCAAUGGUGAAAACAGGUAGCUGGGAGUGUGCUGACACUGAGACACGAAAGCCAGGGGAGCAAACGGG
Molecule: ribosomal RNA, 253 nt
Filed under: uncultured bacterium
Lineage: Bacteria
Description: partial 16S ribosomal RNA
Rfam family: Bacterial small subunit ribosomal RNA
Source: RNAcentral